UUAUACUGACGUUAGUAUAAGAUGGCGGCUGUGCUUGUUCAUGCUUGACGGCCUCUCUCGGUUAUUGCGUCUAUUUUUUCUCAAUCGUACCUUCAAUUCCGAUUAAAAAGACAAUUUAUGCGGUGUAAACGCAACCAUCGACUCAAGUCAACAUAUUCAGUGUGUUUUUAUAUUAGAGUAUUAUAGUAAUUUGUGAAAAGUGUGUGUCCCCAUGUAUUUGAAGACAGUCUGAGAAUUACCUGUGCUGAUGCGUUGAAAUCAAACGUCUAAGGGCUGCGGGGAGGGAACGGAAUUUCUUUGUUCAUUCCAAUUCUUCUUUUCCAUUGGGCAUAAUUGAUGUCAAAUUGAGCUGCAUUUUACCAUGAUGGAUAGCAGUAAGCAGGCAUUUUAAGCUAUAACAGCCACAUUAGCACACAUGAAUUUUGACAAUUUAGUGAUAAAAACUUGCACUAAAAAGAUAAAAAAUCUGAUCCUGAGUCGCCAGAAGUAUUCGACACCUCAUGCUUCUUUAUGGGAUAGCUCGGGUGCUCUUUGUUUCGACUCUAAGAAAAACGCCUCUCAUGGCAAUCUGGAAAGUUUUUCCCGCACAUUUGGUCAUACUGACCUGAUUGUCGAUCUCGCCAUGUACUCCUGUAAUAUCUAAUGAUUUUUACAUAACUAAUGUAACGUGGUAGAUUUUUACUCGCAUAAAAAUGCUCCAGUUAGCCCGCCCUUUUCCCUUGACGGUCCGAAAACGGAACAAAUGCUCUGAAGGGAGCCAGUUGUUUUUUUGUUUCGACGGGAACAACAAAUCGAAAAACGUACUCGAAGCGGAUAACUCACGACGAUGAACCAAAAUUCUAACUUAAAACGUAAAUAUAGGAAAACUUAAACUAAAGGGUCAAGGGAAAGGUGGUAAAUGCUCAGGAUGUAGGUUGUGGAGAGAGGGGUGGUUCGGGGUAUGCUGGUCACUGGACUAUAUUAACUUCAUCUCUUGAUAAUAAUAACCUUAAAUAUAAUAAUUUCUCGAAUAUUCCAUAGUUUAAUAAGAAACGCAAAUAUAACCCCAAUAAUUUUCGAGAGAGAUAGAUCUUACAAAUUAUUGAUCAUUCCAUUUAUUUUAAGGAAUGCAGCGUAUCGUAGGCAGAGAGAGACCGAAACUGCUUUUAUCCGUCUAAUCUAAUCCAUUAAAUUCAUAAAAAACCAAAUAGAACAAAAGAAAAUAUAAUGAUCCUACUGUCGGGCUAAAUACUAUUAAUUUACCCGAAAAUAACGUAACGAUCAAUGAUUUCAACUCAUUCCUGAUCGGUACAUUAAAUAAAUCCGAACAACAAAUUCCGAGGCGUUAUAAACGCAAUUAAUAACAGAAAAUCCUAGCGCAGCAUAAUUUAUGAAGCAUACGGGCUCCGAGAGCAUAGUCGAACACAGAGCAGCUAGAACGACGGACGCGGGCCUUUUGUUAAAAUCAUGUAUCCCCGGAGACAAAGCUGAGUGAGCCCAGAGGAUCGUGGGGGUUUAGAGCCAACCACCUAACUGAGCUCAAGGCUACGAUUGGUCCCCUAGUCCUAUUUGUGGAACAGGCCCCUCAUCCUGACUCUUAAGGUAAAAUAGAAGAAUGAUUGUAAGGCAGUUCGACCUCAGACGCCUAAAAGUUAUGUUAAGCCUACAACUUACGAAUAAAUUUUCAAUAAUAUAAUCUCGCUAAA
This is a long non-coding RNA of Diachasmimorpha longicaudata, 1685 nucleotides long. RefSeq lists it as uncharacterized. The record is from RefSeq and is a predicted model, not a curated record. The transcript is spliced from 3 exons. NCBI's taxonomy places the organism in Eukaryota, Metazoa, Arthropoda, Insecta, Hymenoptera, Braconidae.